This 253-nucleotide ribosomal RNA is filed under the name uncultured bacterium. Its description in RNAcentral is "partial 16S ribosomal RNA". It matches the Rfam family "Bacterial small subunit ribosomal RNA", at positions 524 to 776 of the family's 1533-position model. The record is from RNAcentral.
UACAGAGGUCUCAAGCGUUGUUCGGAUUCAUUGGGCGUAAAGGAUGCGUAGGUGGCGCCGUAAGUCAGGUGUGAAAUUUCGGAGCUUAACUCCGAAACUGCAUUUGAUACUGCGGUGCUUGAGGACUGGAGAGGAGACUGGAAUUUACGGUGUAGCAGUGAAAUGCGUAGAGAUCGUAAGGAAGACCAGUGGCGAAGGCGGGUCUCUGGACAGUUCCUGACACUGAGGCACGAAGGCCAGGGGAGCAAACGGG